Molecule: ribosomal RNA, 443 nt
Filed under: uncultured bacterium
Lineage: Bacteria
Description: partial 16S ribosomal RNA
Rfam family: Bacterial small subunit ribosomal RNA
Source: RNAcentral
CCUACGGGAGGCAGCAGUGGGGAAUAUUGGGCAAUGGGCGCAAGCCUGACCCAGCAACGCCGCGUGAAUGAAGAAGGCUUUCGGGUUGUAAACUUCUUUUGUCAGGGAAGAGUAGAAGACGGUACCUGACGAAUAAGCCACGGCUAACUACGUGCCAGCAGCCGGGGUAAUUCGUAGGUGGCAAGCGUUGUCCGGAUUUACUGGGUGUAAAGGGCGUGUAGCCGGGUUGACAAGUCAGAUGUGAAAGCCUGCGGCUUAACCGCCGAACUGCCUUUGAAACUGUUGCACUUGAGGAGUGGAGAGGCAGACGGAAUUUCUAGUGGAGCGGUGAAAUGCGGAGAUAUUAGGAGGAACACCAGUGGGGAAGGCGGUCUGCCGGACAGCAACUGACGGUGAGGGGCGAAAGCGUGGGGAGCAAACAGGAUUAGAUACCCCGAGUAGUC